UGGGGAAUUUUACACAAUGGGCGAAAGCCUGAUGUAGCGACACCGCGUGAGCGAAGAAGCCUUUUGGGGUGUAAAGCUCUGUCAGCAGGGACGAAAAAAAUGACGGUACCUGCAGAGGAAGCAUCGGCUAACUACGUGCCAGCAGCCGCGGUAAGACGUAGGAUGCAAGCGUUGUCCGGAUUUAUUGGGCGUAAAGAGUUCGUAGGUGGUUUGUUAAGUCUGAUGUUAAAGACUGGGGCUCAACCUCGGGACUGCAUUGGAUACUGGCAGACUUGAGUGCGGUAGAGGCAAGUGGAAUUCCAGGUGUAGCGGUGAAAUGCGUAGAUAUCUGGAAGAACACCGGUGGCGCAAGCGACUUGCUGGGCCGUAACUGACACUGAGGAACGAAAGCUAGGGGAGCGAAUGG
This 406-nucleotide ribosomal RNA is filed under the name uncultured bacterium. RNAcentral's name for it is "bacterial SSU rRNA". It matches the Rfam family "Bacterial small subunit ribosomal RNA", at positions 355 to 775 of the family's 1533-position model. The record is from RNAcentral.